AGCGAACGCUGGCGGCAGGCCUAAUACAUGCAAGUCGAGCGCACCUUCGGGUGAGCGGCGGACGGGUGAGUAACGCGUGGGAACGUGCCCUUUGGUACGGGAUAACUGAGGGAAACUUCAGCUAAUACCGUAUGUGCCCUACGGGGGAAAGAUUUAUCGCCAUUGGAGCGGCCCGCGUUGGAUUAGGUAGUUGGUGGGGUAAAGGCCCACCAAGCCGACGAUCCAUAGCUGGUCUGAGAGGAUGAUCAGCCACACUGGGACUGAGACACGGCCCAGACUCCUACGGGAGGCAGCAGUAGGGAAUCUUGCGCAAUGGGCGAAAGCCUGACGCAGCCAUGCCGCGUGAAUGAUGAAGGUCUUAGGAUUGUAAAAUUCUUUCACCGGGGAAGAUAAUGACGGUACCCGGAGAAGAAGCCCCGGCUAACUUCGUGCCAGCAGCCGCGGUAAUACGAAGGGGGCUAGCAUUGCUCGGAAUUACUGGGCGUAAAGGGCGCGUAGGCGGAUGUUUAAGUCGGGGGUGAAAGCCCGGGGCUCAACCUCGGAAUUGCCUUCGAUACUGGACAUCUUGAGUACGGGAGAGGUGAGUGGAACUCCGAGUGUAGAGGUGAAAUUCGUAGAUAUUCGGAAGAACACCAGUGGCGAAGGCGACUCACUGGCCCGUUACUGACGCUGAGGCGCGAAAGCGUGGGGAGCAAACAGG
RNAcentral lists this ribosomal RNA (700 nucleotides) under uncultured Alphaproteobacteria bacterium. Its description in RNAcentral is "bacterial SSU rRNA". It matches the Rfam family "Bacterial small subunit ribosomal RNA", at positions 28 to 776 of the family's 1533-position model. The record is from RNAcentral. Lineage: Bacteria; Pseudomonadati; Pseudomonadota; Alphaproteobacteria.